This 6687-nucleotide long non-coding RNA is filed under the name Trifolium pratense (red clover). RNAcentral describes it as "long non-coding RNA (TPRA_LNC001245)". Lineage: Eukaryota; Viridiplantae; Streptophyta; Magnoliopsida; Fabales; Fabaceae. The record is from RNAcentral.
CAAAAUUUCCUUUGCAAUAAAUACAAUUACACAAUCACAAUCACUUCAUGAUGGAAGCACCUUAGUUUCUAAGGAUGGAAUAUUUGAGUUGGGUUUCUUCAAUCUUGGUGAUUCCACAAACCGCUAUGUUGGAAUUUGGUACAAAAAUAUACCUGUUAGAAAAGUCGUUUGGGUCGCCAACCGUGACAACCCAAUCAAAGACAAUUCUAGCAAGUUGAUCAUAAGUCGAGAUGGAAACCUUGUGCUUCUAAAUCAAAAUCAAACUCUUCUAUGGUCGACAAACACAACAACAAAGGUUUCAAGUCCAAUUGUUCAACUGUUGGACAGUGGAAAUUUAGUACUUAAAAAUAACGGUGAUGAAAAUAAUUUUUUGUGGCAGAGUUUUGAUUAUCCUUGUGAUACAAUAUUAUCGGGAAUGAAGGUUGGAUGGGACAAAAAAAGAGGUCUUGCUAGGAAUAUCACUGCAUGGNNNNNNNNNNNNNNNNNNNNNNNNNNNNNNNUUGCUUCAACUAUGAUACUAACUCCUAAUCCUGAAAGUUUUAUGUUGAAAGGCUCAACAAAAUUCUUCAGGACAGGACCAUGGACCGGUUCACGAUCUAGUGGAGUAACUAGUGGAAUAAUUGGAUUCCAACAAAAUCCACUUUUUGAUUAUGAAUUUGUCAACAAUGAAAAUGAAGUAUAUUAUAAGUUCACACUAAAAAAUAGUUCUGUGGUUUCUAUAAUUGUUUUUAACCAAACACUUUCUGUUCGUCAACGACUCGUUUGGAUUCCAGAAUCCAAAAUAUGGAGUGUUUACCAAACCUUACCGCAAGAUAGUUGUGAUGCAUACAAUGUUUGCGGGGCAAAUGGGCAAUGUGCACUUGAUGCAUCGCCCAUGUGCCAGUGUUUAGAUGGAUUUAAGCCAAAAUCACCACAACAAUGGAAUGGAAUGGACUGGAGACAAGGAUGUGUGCGUAAUGGUAAUUGGAGUUGUGGUGUCAAAAAAAGAGACGGGUUUAAAAAAAUUGUUGGGCUGAAAUUGCCGGAUACUACACAUUCUUGGAUCGAUGAGAAAAUGACACUAGAAGAAUGCAAGGCUAAAUGCUUGGGAAAUUGUUCGUGUAGUGCUUACUCGAGUUUAGACUCAUCUGAAACAGGUAGCGGUUGUUCGAUCUGGUUUGGUGAUCUUAUUGAUUUGAGAGUUUUACAAAGAGGAAACAACGUAUAUGUUCGAGUAGAUGCUUCAGAUAUCGGUAAAGACUUUAAUAGUCCAUUUAUUAUUUUGCCAACAUUAAGAUAUUAGUCAAUUAGAGGAUCAUAUUGUUCUUGAAAUCACAUCACAUAUGCUUUGUUUCUCUCUCAACUGAUAAUUGCAGGUGAUGAAAAUGCACAUAAGAAAAUGGUAGAAUUGGUGGUAUCAAUUACAGUUCCGGUAGUCAUUGUGAUGUUAUUGGCAUUCACCUACAUUUAUAUAAGAAAGGAAAAAUAUAAAGGUAAGUUUCUUCAUUAUACAACCUUUUUUAUUUCUCAAAAUUAUGAUAACUUUCCAAUCAAAUUUACAUUUUGUUUUGAAUGAUUUUUCUUUUUUAUUCAAAGGGAAAAUAAAAAAAAUGACAAGGUUGGAAAAGAAAGAUGAAGAUACGCAUGAAGAUUUUGAGCUUCCUAUCUAUGAUAUAGCUACAAUACUCAAGGCAACAAAUAACUUCUGUUUCAACAAUAAGCUAGGUNNNNNNNNNNNNNNNNNNNNNNNNNNNNNNNNNNNNNNNNNNUUAUAGGGUAUAUUGCUUGAUGGACAAGAAAUUGCUGUCAAAAGACUAUCAAAGAGUUCCGGACAAGGAUCACAAGAGUUUAAAAAUGAAGUUAUAUUAUGUGCUAAACUCCAACAUCGAAAUCUCGUUAAGGUUGUUGGUUGUUGUAUUGAAGGAGAUGAGAAAAUGUUGAUCUAUGAAUACAUGUCGAAUAAUAGUCUCGAUUCAUUUCUUUUAGGUGAGUAGUUUUUUGCAAAUUAAAGUAUAAUAAUAUAAGUUCAAUAUUAUUUGCAAAGAAACGACUAAUAAACUUACUGGACACUCUCUACAGAUCCAAUACGGAGUAAAUUGUUAGAUUGGUCCGCACGCUUUAACAUUAUUUUUGGAAUAGCUCGAGGGCUUCUUUAUCUUCAUCAAGACUCAAGAUUAAGGAUCAUACACAGAGAUCUGAAAGUGAGCAAUAUUUUACUAGACAAUGAUAUGAAUCCAAAAAUUUCGGAUUUUGGCUUGGCUAGAAUGUGUGGAGGUGAUCAAAUUGAAGGGAGAACAAACAAAAUAGUUGGGACAUAGUAAGUAUAUCUUAAAAGAUAACAAACAUGUUGUAUAACUAAUCGAACAUUUGAAUAAUUAUUGGUUGUUUCUUUUUUCAGCGGUUAUAUGGCUCCAGAAUAUGCCAUUGAUGGACUAUUCUCUAUAAAAUCUGAUGUCUUUAGUUUUGGUGUAUUAUUAUUAGAAAUUAUUAGUGGAAAGAAAAAUAGAGCACGAAACUACCGAGAACAUGAUCAUAAUCUUAUUGGCUAUGUAAGUACCUCUAAAUACAAUUAUUCUCUUAUAUUAUAGCAAUAUAUACGACAAAUUAAUCUAUUGAACUUUUGUAGGCAUGGAGAUUGUGGAAAGAGGGAAUUCCACUCAAAUUGAUUGAUGAUAAUAUAAGGGACUCAUGCGUUGAAUUUGAAGCAAUACGUUGUAUUCAAAUUGCUCUACUAUGCUUACAACAUCAUCCCGACGAUAGACCAAACAUGACAUCUGUAGUUGUGAUGUUAAAUAGCGAAAAUACUUUAUCUAUACCUAAGGAGCCUGGUUUCUUGAUUAAGUUCUCUGCUGAAGGAGAACCUUCUUCUGGAAAAGAAACAUCUUCAACAAAUGAAAUAACUAUAUCAAUAUUAGAGGCCAGAUAGAUAAAUUUGUGUAUGUCUUACCAUCACAAUAUUUUUUACUCAAACCCAACGUCUACGUGCCCCUGAAUAAAAAAAAAAUUAUGAAAAAAGAGUUCGCAUUUUAGAAUGUGAACUCUAUUUUCAUGAUAUUUUUCAUCUAGGGGGCGUAGACUUUAAGUUUUAGUAAAAAAUAUUGCCACUCGCUACUUAAAGUGCGAAUCAUGCUCACAUCCUAAAAAAUAAGGGGGUUAGUUUGAUAGUUUUAGGGGCGCCUGAAGUUUUUCGUGGGCAUAAAAGGUAAAACUCUAUUAUAAAUAGAAGGGUGGUUGCACCAAGCAGUUGAUCCCAAUUCACGGUAUUAUUUCUCUACUUCUUGCUCCUCUCUUCCAUCACUUAUUAGACUUUAUUCAUUUAAAAUAAUUAAGACAUUAAACUUAUGUAGUUAAUAAACUCAUUCUAAAAUGAAUCGUUCGAAAAAAAAUCAAAGUUUAAAAAUAAUUCUUAGUCAAAUUUUACUUACCAACUCUGAAUUAUUGGACCUUAUUCCUUUAGGAACUAGAGAAUAAACAUACAAAAAAUUUUAUUUUUUAGUUUACAAUGUUAUCAAUGAAAAUUGAACCUAAGACCUCAUACGUAUUAUUCAAACCACUUGGCAUUAUCACUGGACUAAAUCCAUUGGCUUAAAAGGAAGUCUCAUUUUUAAAUAGAGUAUAUGAAACUCUAAAAAAGUUUAUGAUUAAUAUUAACAAUUAUCUUGGUUUGUUGUUAAAAAAAAACUAUUACUUUUGGUUUGAACCAUCAGCCGACCUUGGUGGGGCUGGGGAGGGCCAUGGUCCAUCCCAAAAAAUGUGAAAUUACUUAAAUACCCUUGGUAGCUUUAUAAAAUUAUACCUAUCUACUAUAUAUAUAUUGGUUGCGGUAUAAAUGUAUUAAACUGUGAGUUUGGCCUAGUGUUCUGUAGCAUGGUUUUAUGGCAAGAGGUCCUGUGUUCAACUCCCUCUUCUCUUAUUUUUUGCAUUUUCUUCUUUUCUUUUAAAAAAUUCAUGUUUAAUACCCAUAAUUUGAACCCAUGGAGAGUUUGAGAACAAAACAAUUCCUCAAACCACUUAACCAAACACAUUUUUUCAUAAAAUGUUAAAUUUCAUGUAUAUAUAUAUACAAAAAAUAGACAAUUUUGUUUUUCUUUUAUAAAAAAAGCAGAACUAUUUUCAAUUNNNNNNNNNNNNNNNNNNNNNNNNNNNNNNNNNNNNNNNNNNNNNNNNNNNNNNNNNNNNNNNNNNNNNNNNNNNNNNNNNNNNNNNNNNNNNNNNNNNNNNNNNNNNNNNNNNNNNNNNNNNNNNNNNNNNNNNNNNNNNNNNNNNNNNNNNNNNNNNNNNNNNNNNNNNNNNNNNNNNNNNNNNNNNNNNNNNNNNNNNNNNNNNNNNNNNNNNNNNNNNNNNNNNNNNNNNAUAAAUAUUAAUUUAAAAUAAAUCAUUGAUAAUUUUUCAAAUUAUUUGGAACACGUCGAAUAUUAUUUAGAGCGUGAAAUUUAAUUUUAUGGUAAAAUUUAUAUUUAUUCUAAAUUAAAUUUUUGUAUAAAAUAUAAUUUUUAUAUUUAAUUUAAAUAUUAUAAUUUUUUUGCGGCCCACCAAAAAAUUAUUUUCCAGUUCCGCCACUGUCUUUGAACAAAUUCCAAAAUUAAUACGGAACUUGGAAUCCAAAGUCAAAAUAAGCAUCUUCUAAGAUCUUUGUGGUGGAACCGUGACAUAACUUUCCGCAAUAAAGCCAUAAAGGUCUUUCUAGAAUUUAAAAUUAAUCCAACUAAGACUAAUCUCUUAUAUAUUUAUUUUAGAAAGACUUGCAUUAUUACAAACAUUUAUAGUGUAUUUGAAUGAGAAAAUAUUUGAGUUGAUGUAGUUUUUUUUAAGAGAAUUCAAAUUUUUCUAUAUAAAAAAAAUAUAAAAUUAAAUGUAAAUCAAUAUAUUUCAUAUCGAGGGAACUUUGUUAAUAGACAAAAAAAAAAAAAUUUCCAUGUUUUUGUCUUAAUAUUAGAAUUGAGUUUCACAUAACUUAACCAUAUAAAAUUGGUUUGUAAAAUUGUACCCCAAAAAAAAAUGGGUUUGUAAAGUAAAAAAAAAAUUCGAAACACUAUUGAGUUUGAUGCUUGAAUAUUAUAAUAGCGAGUAACAUGAUAGCAAAAAUUUGGUAACAAGUGAUCCGAUAACAGGUGACCUAAUAGAUCUUGCAGAAGAAUGAAUUGUACUUGACUCAACCCUACAAAAUAAGUUUAUAAGGUAAAAAAUUAUCUCUUUAUUAUAAACCCAUUUUUAAAUCAUCUCGAGGUUAUCCAAUAACAGAUAUAACCUAAAUGAUCUUGGAGGAAAAUAUGAUACUAUCUUAAAAUUUUGAAUUAAUCUUAAUUCAAUCAUAUAUACUCAUUUUAAAACCAUUUAAACCAUCCCACAUAUGUCCCCAUGAGUUUAACUCAAUUGACAGGAACAUCAUACUAUAUAUACAGGCGUCGGAAUAUGAACCCAGACACUCCAUAUAUUCACCUUUAAAAUGAAUUUUCUAGUCACUAAGCUACUUGACCAAAAAUCAUCCCACAUCUGAUAUUAAAAUCUUAAUAAAUGUAAUUUUUAUUUUUUCCUCGUAAUAAUUUAAGAUAGUAUUAAAACUAUGCCACUAAAAUUAUUUUAUUUUUUACAAAACUGCCCUGCCGUGAUAUAUAUUUCAUCAAAUACUUGAGAGAGUCUCAAGUCUUCAGAUAAGUCACAUCCGUGCAAUAUUUUCUACGUUGACUGACCAAAUCAGCAACCACGCAACCACUUAAGUUCUAUAUUUAUUUCCACACCAAAGAGAAUUUGACAAGUGCGUCAUUGUUGAGACUACAACGUGGAUCAACAUAAAUGUUUCUAUUAUUACUCCUCGGUCUGUGAGUCAGUUGACUGCGUUACGCAUGUCAAUGCAUAAUUUUGGAGAUUAAUAUUUUUAAUUAUAUAAUAGUAAAUAUUAUAAAAAUAUGAUAUUUUGAAAAGACUGAUCGAGAUGAACCUAACAUCUUAUAUGCUAAUAUUUGUUUUUAUUUAUUAGUAAAAAAAUAGAGUCAAAGUAAGAUAUGUGAAUACUAUAUAGGUCAUGCUAAACAGUACUCCCGGGGCACUUGUUAAGCAUACCAAAAAAGGAAAUAAAAAAUGAAAUAAAUAUUAAAAAGACAACUUUUUUAUACUUUUGUUGUAUUGAAUGCACGCAUUUUGAGAUAUAAUUUCUAUUUUUAAAUGCUUAACCAGUGUCCCGGGGGCAGUGUUUAGCAUUUUCCAUACUGUAUAUAGUCAAAAUGACUCACUUAUUUUGGGACGGAGGAAGUAACAAAAUGUUCCAAAAUCUCCAUUUAUAUAUGAAUAUUUCUUCAAUUAAUUAUAACCCAUAAAUCAAUGCAAAAUGAACAUUCUUCCAACCAUACUCGUUAUUGCUAACAUACUAUUUUUCUUCUCCAAAAUUUCCUUUGCAAUAGAUACAAUUACACAAUCACUUCCCGAUGGAAGCACCUUAGUUUCUAAGGAUGGAAUAUUUGAGUUGGGUUUCUUCAAUCUUGGUGAUUCCACAAACCGCUAUGUUGGAAUUUGGUACAAAAAUAUACCUGUUAGAAGAGUCGUUUGGGUCGCCAACCGUGACAACCCAAUCAAAGACAAUUCUAGCAAGUUAAUCAUAAGUCGAGAUGGAAACCUCUUGCUUCUAAAUCAAAAUCAAACUCUUCUAUGGGCGACAAACACAACAACAAAGGUUUCAAGUCCAAUUGUUCAACUCUUGGACAGUGGAAAUUU